Long non-coding RNA from Gossypium arboreum, 482 nucleotides. RefSeq lists it as uncharacterized. The transcript has 3 exons. NCBI's taxonomy places the organism in Eukaryota, Viridiplantae, Streptophyta, Magnoliopsida, Malvales, Malvaceae. The record is from RefSeq and is a predicted model, not a curated record.
ACCCCAAAUGCAUCUGUCCCAAAAUCGAAUGGAACAGAAGGGAUUUCUCCCUUCCUUCUUUGCUAGGGCGCAAAUGGAUCAGCCCCGCCGCUAAUCCAUCUCGAACGCGAAUAACAGUGGCUGGAGAAGACCUACAAGGAUCUGUCAACUUUCGACUGGAGGAGCCAACGUCGACCAAAUCGAUACCAAAACAGUACGUGGCGGUGUACGGAGGUGGUAUGGUUGUGUCGACGUGGAGGCGUGAUCGAUGGUAGUGCUGGAGGAUGCUGGAGGCUGUUGCGGCGCCAAACAAAUGGGGCUAGGGUUAGGGUUCCCAAGAACUUUCAAAGGAUUGGGCCUAUCGGGCUCUAUUAGUUGUUGGGCCAUUGAGUAUUGGGCUAGGAUUAAUUCGGUUUUUAGGUUUUAUAUUUGGGUUUGGGUUUGAAAUUGGGUUAUGUAAUUUGGACUUGUGGACAUUUAAUUUGGUUUAAUUUUUAUUUGUU